RNAcentral lists this ribosomal RNA (442 nucleotides) under uncultured Acetobacteraceae bacterium. Its description in RNAcentral is "bacterial SSU rRNA". It matches the Rfam family "Bacterial small subunit ribosomal RNA", at positions 337 to 796 of the family's 1533-position model. The record is from RNAcentral. Lineage: Bacteria; Pseudomonadati; Pseudomonadota; Alphaproteobacteria; Acetobacterales; Acetobacteraceae.
GCCUACGGGUGGCUGCAGUGGGGAAUAUUGGACAAUGGGCGCAAGCCUGAUCCAGCAAUGCCGCGUGUGUGAAGAAGGUCUUCGGAUUGUAAAGCACUUUCGACGGGGACGAUGAUGACGGUACCCGUAGAAGAAGCCCCGGCUAACUUCGUGCCAGCAGCCGCGGUAAUACGAAGGGGGCUAGCGUUGCUCGGAAUGACUGGGCGUAAAGGGCGCGUAGGCGGAUUGUACAGUCAGAUGUGAAAUUCCUGGGCUCAGCCUGGGGGCUGCAUUUGAUACGUGCGAUCUUGAGUCCGGAAGAGGGUGGUGGAAUUCCCAGUGUAGAGGUGAAAUUCGUAGAUAUUGGGAAGAACACCGGUGGCGAAGGCGGCCACCUGGUCCGGUACUGACGCUGAGGCGCGAAAGCGUGGGGAGCAAACAGGAUUAGAUACCCCUGUAGUCC